UGGGGAAUUUUGGACAAUGGGCGCAAGCCUGAUCCAGCCAUUCCGCGUGCAGGACGAAGGCCUUCGGGUUGUAAACUGCUUUUGUACGGAACGAAAAGGCUCUGGCUAAUACCUGGGGCUCAUGACGGUACCGUAAGAAUAAGCACCAGCUAACUACGUGCCAGCAGCCGCGGUAAUACGUAGGGUGCAAGCGUUAAUCGGAAUUACUGGGCGUAAAGCGUGCGCAGGCGGUUAUGUAAGACAGAGGUGAAAUCCCCGGGCUCAACCUGGGAACUGCCUUUGNGACUGCAUAGCUGGAGUACGGCAGAGGGGGAUGGAAUUCCGCGUGUAGCAGUGAAAUGCGUAGAUAUGCGGAGGAACACCGAUGGCGAAGGCAAUCCCCUGGGCCUGUACUGACGCUCAUGCACGAAAGCGUGGGGAGCAAACA
Molecule: ribosomal RNA, 427 nt
Filed under: uncultured bacterium
Lineage: Bacteria
Description: bacterial SSU rRNA
Rfam family: Bacterial small subunit ribosomal RNA
Source: RNAcentral